Long non-coding RNA from Triticum dicoccoides, 1649 nucleotides. RefSeq lists it as uncharacterized. The transcript is spliced from 7 exons. The record is from RefSeq and is a predicted model, not a curated record. NCBI's taxonomy places the organism in Eukaryota, Viridiplantae, Streptophyta, Magnoliopsida, Poales, Poaceae.
GAAAAUAUCUGGCUGCACUUCCUCUCUCUCCUCCCCCUCCCCCUCGUCUCCUCCUCUUCUUCAUGCGGCUGACAGCGCAGCUCCUCGCGCCGCCCAUCCGUCCACCCUACUGCUCGUGGGCGAAGCUCCGUCCUCUCCCUGCCAUCAAUUCCCAUGUGUGCAGCGGCGGCCCCGGAGAAAUCCUCACUCGUCCUCGAGCCCACUUCCUCUUCGUUGUCUGGUGGCCAUGGGAUGGGCCUGGAUCUAGAUCGGGCGCAGGUUAGGUGAGGCCGAUGGUUGGGUGAAGGAGUAGGGGAGGCGGGUGAUGAGGACAGGAAGAAGCCGGCCGUUGUGGUGCAGUGGAGCUGCCGGGAAGAAAGAGGAGGUCGGCUGCAUCCCCGGGGGUGCCGGUGGAGGUGCUCCUCAACGAGAUUCGGCCGUGGUGGCUGCGCAGCCUCGCCCUCUCUGCCACAAGAGAUCAGCAUACCAUCGAACUCAGGUCCGGGUCGUUCUGGCCAAGCAGGAGGCUCCCACGGGCGAAGGCGAGGCUGCGACGCCAUGGUCGAGCAAGAGGAUUGCGGUGUUGUGCACGCACCUGGUCGGGUGGUCGUCAUUCACCGCCUUGGACAGCACCAGAUGAAGAUGGAGAACAACGACAGGCCUGCGCAGCCCAGGUGUUGAUGUGAGCCCGUGGUUCACGCUGGUUUCAGGUUAAGAAAGACGGUGAUGGAGGACCUUGGUUUUGUGGGCUGAUUGCCACUGUUUUACCGAUUGUAUGUUUUCUUCUAGACGAGGGUUGCCACUGGUCUGCAGCUUGGGUUAAUGCAGAUGUUGACCAUUCUUAACGAUACACUGCUUUUAGUUUGAAAAUAUGGAGAGUGCUCAGUUGGCUGCUUCAGGUCACACUAACCUGCACAGACGGCAACAGUGGUUAUGUCAGCUCGAAGAAAAGCAGUGCUUGCUUGACGUUGAUGGCUUGACCUUUUGGGCCUCUCUCCUUGGGCUCCUGAUUUCUCAGUGAGGAUCAUCUUGCCAACGUGUUUCACCCUCCUAUCCCCUCGAUUUGGUUAUAGCUUUGCAUCGCUGUCGAAAGAUCAAUGGUUCAAGCCUGAGAAAAUCUAUAAUGUUAUUUGUAGUGGUGAUGAUAGCGAGUCUUCCGGAUCGCUUCCUUAGCCUAACAACGCAGCGUACAAACCAGCUGUUAUCAACAUCGGUAAUGAUCUGGCCCUUCGCCCGUUGCAUGAAAGCCAAGAAAAACAAGAAAAAGGAGCACACAUCGCAUGGUACAAAACCAUCUAUCAUUACCAUUGUCAUGCCAUUAUACCUAAUUUUAUUUGCCUUCCUGUACAUACUAAUCUUUCAAACCCUCUUCAUGAUUAUCAUCAUACAUCAACUACAACUAAAUCCAUAAAACCGACGAAGGCUGAACACAAGACCUACAUAACCCGUAUGAUCAAACAAUGUUUUCAUUUGCUCUACUAAUACCAGUACAUGCAUAUGCUUACACCAACCAUUUUAUAUACCAUUGCAAAGGGGCACCCGACACUAUCUACUUUCUAAGCUUUGAUGGUCAUUGUACAUGGGGAAACAAAGUGAGGCUAUACAGGAAGCAGCUUACAAAUUUGAGGUGUCUCAUCGCUACAAGGAUGACCUUUGCCACUCGAGGAAUG